CGGGGCGUAGCGCAGCCUGGUAGCGCACUUGCAUGGGGUGCAAGGGGUCGAGUGUUCGAAUCACUCGUCCCGACCA
RNAcentral lists this transfer RNA (76 nucleotides) under Acinetobacter baumannii. RNAcentral describes it as "tRNA-Pro". It matches the Rfam family "tRNA". From Rfam's summary of the family: Transfer RNA (tRNA) molecules are approximately 80 nucleotides in length. Their secondary structure includes four short double-helical elements and three loops (D, anti-codon, and T loops). Lineage: Bacteria; Pseudomonadati; Pseudomonadota; Gammaproteobacteria; Moraxellales; Moraxellaceae. The record is from RNAcentral.